This 396-nucleotide ribosomal RNA is filed under the name uncultured bacterium. Its description in RNAcentral is "partial 16S ribosomal RNA". It matches the Rfam family "Bacterial small subunit ribosomal RNA", at positions 523 to 918 of the family's 1533-position model. The record is from RNAcentral.
AUACGUAGGUGGCAAGCGUUGUCCGGAAUUAUUGGGCGUAAAGCGCAUGUAGGCGGUUUGGUAAGUCGGUCGUGAAAAUGCGGGGCUUAACGCCGUAUGGCGAUUGAAAAUGCUGAACUUGAGUGCAGGAGAGGAAAGGGGAACUCCCAGUGUAGCGGUGAAAUGCGUAGAUAUUGGGAAGAACACCGGUGGCGAAGGCGCCUUUCUGGACUGUGUCUGACGCUCAGAUGCGAAAGCCAGGGUAGCGAACGGGAUUAGAUACCCCGGUAGUCCUGGCCGUAAACGAUGGGUACUAGGUGUGGGAGGUAUCGACUCCUUCCGUGCCGGAGUUAACGCAAUAAGUACCCCGCCUGGGGAGUACGGCCGCAAGGCUUAAACUCAAAGGAAUUGACGGGG